Non-coding RNA from Musa acuminata subsp. malaccensis (wild Malaysian banana), 96 nucleotides. NCBI's taxonomy places the organism in Eukaryota, Viridiplantae, Streptophyta, Magnoliopsida, Zingiberales, Musaceae. The record is from Rfam.
UGGCCUAUGAAGAUGCAUUUGAUCCUGAUAACACACCAUCUUUCGGGACUGAUUGGCACUUUGUGGCCAUGUUGUUAUUCUGCAAUUCUGAGGCAU